AUGGAGAACAAGCCAAGCGAGCAUCUCAGUAACAUAUUCACAAUAACACCCACAAAUGGAUCUGGAUAUCUUGACAACAAUACGAUAAAGCAGACCAUACUUGCACAAGAAGCUACAUUCCGGGAACAGGUCAUAGAACUUCACCGUGUGUACAACGUUCAAAAGAACCUAAUGGAAUUAGAAUGCCAAAGAGGUGAAUUAAGUACACAUUCUCAAGAGAAAAUGUCUUCAUCACCAUAUGGGGGUAUAAGAACAGUCCGGCUAGUUGAGCCUCCUGCUGGACAUGAUAUGAAGAAACCAUCUGAAAAAUUCAUGAAGGGAAAAGAUUUAGUGUGUAGUUCAAAUGGAGUUUCUAUGAGGCAUAGCAGUAGUAGGCCCACACAAGAAAAACUAGCCUUUCGGGUUUCAGAUGAUGCACAUGCCAAUAAUAGUGAUGAUGAUGUGGUGAUACUAGCGGAGAAGCCUACAAAUAGUCCAGUAAGAAAUAAAAGUUCCUAUCCUUGUACAAAUGUGAAGGACCUUCAGGUUCCAGCUGAUGCGCAUGCCAAUGACAAUGAUGAUGAUGUGGUGAUACUAUUAGAGAAGCCUGCACAUAGGUGGCCAAUAACUAAUGCUUCAAUUAUUGGUACAAAUGCAAAGGACCUUCAGGUUCGAGCUGAUGCACAUGCAAAUGAUAGUGAUGAUGAUGUAGUGAUAUUGUCAGAGAAGCCUGCAAAAAGUUUGCCAAGAAAGCAUGGUUCAAUUCUUGGUACAAAUUUGAAGAACAUUCUGGUUCCAAUUGGUGCACAUGUUUAUGAUUGUGAUGAUGAUGUGGUGAUACUAUUAGAGAAGUCUGCAGACAAUUUGCCAAGAAAUAAUGGUUCAAUUCUUGGUUCAAAUGUGAAGCUUAACAGUGAGGGCUCCUCACGCGUGAAUAAGAAGUGGAUCAAUAGUUUACAACCAUCAGAUCUAUCAACAAUGGAUGUUUUGAACAAAGAAGUUGUAGGGCCAUCUAGUACUAUGGAAACAACAAACUUCCCAAGUGUGGGAAGUUCAAGUUCUCAGAACCAGGUCUAUUCGGUCGCAGGAGUGAACCUGAACCUCCCAAAUGUGAAGCUUGAAAUUGAGCCAUCCUCGCUUGUGAAAAAGAACCAUGGUAGUGGUUUACAACAAUCACAUGUCUCAACAUUGAAUGCUUUCAAUACAAAAGUGGUAGGGUCAUCUAGUACUAUGAAAAUAGAAGACUUCCCAAGUGUGGGUGCCUCCAGUUCCCAAAACCAAUGUUAUUCAUCGCUAGGAUUGGACCUGAACCUCCCAAGCUUAGAAGAUACCUUGAAAGGAAAGCAUGAGGGUGCAGCCAUUGAUUCAAACUUCUUGGUUGCAAAUGAGGAAACACAACAUAACAAUUCAUACAUCCACAAAAAAUAUGCAUCCACCUCCAAUGCUACAUCCAAAUCUCUACGGAAAAGCAACACUAAAGAUUACAAGAAUGGUCGCCUUCCAACAUUACAAGAAUAUAGUCGCCUUCCAACAUUACAAGAAUAUAGUCGCCUUCCAACACCAAAGACUACACAACCUGGAGGGGGUCAAUAUCAAAAGCAAUCCCAAUUCUAUAAUUGUGUAGAGGACAUGAAUCUGAGCAAUGGUCCUCGAGAUGCAACUGCCACUCCAGGAGAAGCAAGAGAGGAUACCCCAAUGGAAAUCUCGUGGAUCAGAAAGAAGUUGCUAAACAUGAGGAAGGGAAUCUCCAUGAAGAAGACACAAGUGCCAUCAAAUUAUCCAACUGGGCAUUCCCAGAUUUUGCCUAGUUCCAUGGCUUACUCAGAAGGUAGUUCAAAAAAUCUUGGUUCCCCUAUUAAUACAACCACCGAGAAAGAUCCUCAACUCUCGUGCACUAUGCACAAGGGCACAAACGACACAUCCUCGAGUAAGGGUGUAGAUAACAUGGAAAUGCAAUUCCAUAACAAGGAUGACACCAAUGCCAGGAAUCUCAUCGACUUGAAUGUUGCACUACCUUUCAUGGAUGAAAUGGAGAUAGAUGCCCACGUACCAGAAAGCGACACUAUUCCUCAAGAACCAGAUGAUUCUUCUAAUCAUGUUGUGACAGCUGCGAAGAAUCUUACGGCCAUGCAUAAGGUUGAGUUCCAAGAAGGAUUACCUGAAGGUAAUAACAAUGAUGAUGACUCUAACGCUCUGAAACAAUAA
RNAcentral lists this ribosomal RNA (2184 nucleotides) under Triticum aestivum (bread wheat). RNAcentral describes it as "partial small subunit ribosomal RNA". The record is from RNAcentral. Lineage: Eukaryota; Viridiplantae; Streptophyta; Magnoliopsida; Poales; Poaceae.